CCAUUUUGGAUCUGAGAGAGUUGGCCAUGCAGCAGCGUUUCGGAUCCGAGAGCUGGCCAUGCAGCAGCCAUUAAGGAUCCAAGAGUCGGUCAUGUAGCAGCCAUUUCGGAUCUGAGAGAGUCGGCCAUGCAGCAGCCGUUUGGGAUCUGAGAGUCGGCCAUGCAGCAGCCGUUUGGGAUCUGAGAGAGUCGGCCAUGCAGCAGCCAUUUGUGCAUGCUUCCCUUCUCCCAGCCCCACAGGAGACUGACUCUGCAUCCUGCCUCCUUUCAAAUGCAUCCUGUGCCAACAGUUUCUGAAAACGGAUAAACAAAUUGACAACCUCAAAUGCAAAGAUGAAACAUUUCUCCAGAUCAUCAGGCACAUGGUUUACUCAG
Molecule: long non-coding RNA, 374 nt
Filed under: Homo sapiens (human)
Lineage: Eukaryota; Metazoa; Chordata; Mammalia; Primates; Hominidae
Description: HSALNT0253244
Source: RNAcentral